Molecule: long non-coding RNA, 1319 nt
Organism: Lactuca sativa (garden lettuce)
Lineage: Eukaryota; Viridiplantae; Streptophyta; Magnoliopsida; Asterales; Asteraceae
Source: RefSeq, a predicted model, not a curated record
CUCAUUCAAUAUCUUCCCCUUUCCGAUUGUUCUAAUUUUAACGCAACAAAUAUUCCACCGCCUUAACAUAGGUACACAUUUGAAACACCCCUUUUAUCUCUCUCCUAAUAGCUCCUCUGCAACAUCCUCCAUUAAUCUUCCGCCUCCUUGUCUUUUCUAGCAGCACGUGUUGUCGUGGCUAACAAGCACCCCUAACCUUCAUCGGACAUCUUCAACGACGGGCGACGACUUCACAGUUUUGAGACAAUAUGAUCAAUAACAAGGGAAAAUCCAACUCAAAAGAUUCUAAGAUUCAGACAAAAUAGUCACCUACAAAAGCACCCAAAUAUGAAAAUCUCCCUGUCCCAAUGAACCUCAAAGCCUUUAGCUUGAACGAUCUCAAAACCAUCACCAGAACUUUCCGAUCGGAUAGCCUUUUGGAUAAUUCACAACAAUUGGGCUUAUCCUGUUGAUGGAGAUUUCUAUUUCUCCGUUGGCGUUCCUUCCAAUUACAGGAGGUCAUGAGGAACAGAACCUAAAGAGAUAGAAUUACGUAAGCUGCAACUAUUUUCUAAUGCACGUAAUCUGAUGCACUUAAAAUUCGAAAUAUGGAAUUUACUCACAAGGAUGUGGCGUUGAGAAUGUUAUCAUACCAUGGGGGCACGAUGAUUGCAUGUAUUUGAUUGCAAAAGAGAACUGGACCAAUCUUCUAUCAGUUGGGCUUUUCAUCAUAACAUAUGGAGUAUUUGCCUAUUUGGCUUACUAUUGUUAAUCACUGGGUAACAUACAUCGUUGUAUACUAUAUAGAAAGAGAUGUCGAGCAGGAACAAAUCAUUGAUGCUAAAGAGGUGAGGAUGGAAUUAUCUACAGAGAACUCCCACAAAGUUAGUAUAUGUUGUAAGUUGGAAUCCUGAAUGUAAAUAGGUUUUAAAAUGUAUCUACUGAUAAUACUUCAAAUAUAUGGACAAUGUUAGAGGAUUUCAUUUGGAUGAUGUCUUCUGGAUUUGAAAUACCCUUUGACCACAAAAUUUGCAAUAAAGAAAAUUGAAGACAAUAAUACCCUUCUCUUCAUUGUUGACAUCUGUGCUGACAUGAAGAAAAUCAAAGAUCCAGUCAACAAGACAUACGACAUCCAGACCAAGAAAAUCAACACCUUGCUCAUGUAUCAUUUUGUCAUGUUUGUUAUCUAUAAAAUGGAUCAAAAUGUGAUGCUUUUUUCCACUUUUUUAUCGUUUGUUUAUUAAAACACAAAUCUGAUGGAACAAAGAAGGCUUAGUUAUCACUAUAAUGAGCAUUUCCUUUCUGUAAAUACACUAACUUCAAGUCAAUGUAAAAUUGAA